UCGGGAAUAUUGCGCAAUGGAGGAAACUCUGACGCAGUGACGCCGCGUAUAGGAAGAAGGUUUUCGGAUUGUAAACUAUUGUCGUUAGGGAAGAAAAAAGAACAGUACCUAAGGAGGAAGCUCCGGCUAACUACGUGCC
RNAcentral lists this ribosomal RNA (139 nucleotides) under uncultured bacterium. Its description in RNAcentral is "partial 16S ribosomal RNA". It matches the Rfam family "Bacterial small subunit ribosomal RNA", at positions 355 to 509 of the family's 1533-position model. The record is from RNAcentral.